AUCGCGGAUCAGCAUGCCGCGGUGAAUACGUUUCCGGGCCUUGUACACACCGCCCGUCACACCAUGGGAGUUUGUAACGCCCAAAGUCGGUGGCCUAACCUUUAUGGAGGGAGCCGCCUAAGGCGGGACAGAUGACUGGGGUCUGUAACAAGGUAGCCGUAGGAGAACCUGCGGCUGGAUCACCUCCUUUCUAAGGAAUAAAACGGAACCUACACAUCGAAGAAACUUUGUUUAGUUUUGAGGGGUUUACCCUCAGAGCUUGUACUUUGAAAACUAAAUACUAUCUAAUUUCUUUAUUAACAAAACAAUAAACCGAGAACACCGCGUUAUUUGAGUUUUAAUUAACGAAUUAUAAUCGCUAACUCAAUUAAUCAGACAAUCUUUGAUUGUUUAGGUUAAGUUAUGAAGGGCGCAUGGUGAAUGCCUUGGUACUAGGAGCCGAUGAAGGACGGGACUAACACCGAUAUGCUUCGGGGAGCGGUAAGUACGCUUUGAUCCGGAAAUUUCC
RNAcentral lists this unclassified non-coding RNA (508 nucleotides) under Limosilactobacillus reuteri. Its description in RNAcentral is "Lactobacillus reuteri partial contains 16S ribosomal RNA, 16S-23S ribosomal RNA intergenic spacer, and 23S ribosomal RNA". The stretch from base 1 to 190 matches the Rfam family "Bacterial small subunit ribosomal RNA", at positions 1341 to 1533 of the family's 1533-position model. Lineage: Bacteria; Bacillati; Bacillota; Bacilli; Lactobacillales; Lactobacillaceae. The record is from RNAcentral.